RNAcentral lists this ribosomal RNA (481 nucleotides) under uncultured bacterium. Its description in RNAcentral is "bacterial SSU rRNA". It matches the Rfam family "Bacterial small subunit ribosomal RNA", at positions 28 to 524 of the family's 1533-position model. The record is from RNAcentral.
GACGAACGCUGGCGGCGCGCUUAAUACAUGCAAGUCGAACGAGAAGCCAGAGCUUGCUCUGGUGGAAAGUGGCGAACGGGUGAGUAACACGUGAGAAACCUGCCCCAAAGAUUGGGAUAAGCCUUGGAAACGAGGUCUAAUACCAAAUACCUUCUUUUUAACACAUGUUAAAAAGAAGAAAUGCUCCGGCGCUUUGGGAUGGUCUCGCGAUCUAUCAGCUUGUUGGUGAGGUAACGGCUCACCAAGGCAUCGACGGAUAGCUGGUCUGAGAGGAUGUCCAGCCACAUUGGAACUGAGACACGGUCCAAACUCCUACGGGAGGCAGCAGUAGGGAAUCUUGCACAAUGAGGGAAACCUUGAUGCAGCGACGCCGCGUGCGGGACGAAGGCCCUAGGGUUGUAAACCGCUUUCAGUAGGGACGAAAGUGACGGUACCUACAGAAGAAGCCCCGGCCAACGUAUGUGCCAGCAGCCGCGGUAAU